AUUGAACGCUGGCGGCAUGCCUUACACAUGCAAGUCGAACGGCAGCGGGCCUUCGGGUGCCGGCGAGUGGCGAACGGGUGAGUAAUGCAUCGGAACGUGCCAUUGAGUGGGGGGAUAACGUAGCGAAAGUUACGCUAAUACCGCAUAUUCUGUGAGCAGGAAAGCAGGGGGACCGCAAGGCCUUGCGCUCUUUGAGCGGCCGAUGUCAGAUUAGCUAGUUGGUGAGGUAAAGGCUUACCAAGGCGACGAUCUGUAGCGGGUCUGAGAGGAUGAUCCGCCACACUGGAACUGAGACACGGUCCAGACUCCUACGGGAGGCAGCAGUGGGGAAUUUUGGACAAGUGGGCGCAAGCCUGAUCCAGCCAUUCCGCGUGCAGGAUGAAGGCC
RNAcentral lists this ribosomal RNA (387 nucleotides) under uncultured bacterium. RNAcentral describes it as "bacterial SSU rRNA". It matches the Rfam family "Bacterial small subunit ribosomal RNA", at positions 30 to 416 of the family's 1533-position model. The record is from RNAcentral.